CUGGUCUGAGAGGAUGAUCAGCCACACUGGGACUGAGACACGGCCCAGACUCCUACGGGAGGCAGCAGUGGGGAAUAUUGGACAAUGGGCGAAAGCCUGAUCCAGCCAUGCCGCGUGUGUGAAGAAGGCCUUUUGGUUGUAAAGCACUUUAAGUGGGGAGGAAAAGCUUAUGGUUAAUACCCAUAAGCCCUGACGUUACCCACAGAAUAAGCACCGGCUAACUCUGUGCCAGCAGCCGCGGUAAUACAGAGGGUGCAAGCGUUAAUCGGAAUUACUGGGCGUAAAGCGCGCGUAGGUGGUUAUUUAAGUCAGAUGUGAAAGCCCCGGGCUUAACCUGGGAACUGCAUCUGAUACUGGAUAACUAGAGUAGGUGAGAGGGGAGUAGAAUUCCAGGUGUAGCGGUGAAAUGCGUAGAGAUCUGGAGGAAUACCGAUGGCGAAGGCAGCUCCCUGGCAUCAUACUGACACUGAGGUGCGAAAGCGUGGGUAGCAAACAGGAUUAGAUACCCUGGUAGUCCACGCCGUAAACGAUGUCUACCAGUCGUUGGGUCUUUUAAAGACUUAGUGACGCAGUUAACGCAAUAAGUAGACCGCCUGGGGAGUA
This 603-nucleotide ribosomal RNA is filed under the name uncultured Moraxella sp. RNAcentral describes it as "bacterial SSU rRNA". It matches the Rfam family "Bacterial small subunit ribosomal RNA", at positions 287 to 882 of the family's 1533-position model. Lineage: Bacteria; Pseudomonadati; Pseudomonadota; Gammaproteobacteria; Moraxellales; Moraxellaceae. The record is from RNAcentral.